AUACGGAGGACGCGAGCGUUAUCCGGAUUCAUUGGGUUUAAAGGGUGCGCAGGCGGCCGUGCAAGUCAGCGGUGAAAGCCCGGGGCUCAACCCCGGAAGUGCCGUUGAUACUGCAUGGCUGGAAUGCGGUCGAGGCGGGCGGAACGGGGGGUGUAGAGGUGAAAUGCGUAGAUAUGCCACAGAACGCCGAUUGCGUAGGCAGCUGACCAGACCGCAAAUGACGCUCAUGCACGAAAGUGCGGGGAUCGAACAGGAUUAGAUACCCUGGUAGGCCGCACAGUAAACGAUGAAUACUUGUUUUCGGCGAUAUAAUGUCGGAGGCAAAGCGAAAGCGAUAAGUAUUCCACCUGGGGAGUACGCCGGCAACGGUGAAACUCAAAUGAAUUGACGGGG
This 393-nucleotide ribosomal RNA is filed under the name uncultured bacterium. RNAcentral describes it as "partial 16S ribosomal RNA". It matches the Rfam family "Bacterial small subunit ribosomal RNA", at positions 523 to 918 of the family's 1533-position model. The record is from RNAcentral.